Molecule: long non-coding RNA, 1970 nt
Organism: Vicia villosa (hairy vetch)
Lineage: Eukaryota; Viridiplantae; Streptophyta; Magnoliopsida; Fabales; Fabaceae
Exons: 4
Source: RefSeq, a predicted model, not a curated record
CUCAGCCGUCCAUUCCAUAAUUUUUUUAUAUAAAUUAUAGGGUUGAGGACUCAACUAUUAUAAUUUAACAGCCUAUAGGGUUUCACCUUUCUUCAAUUCCUUAUCUGUCAAGAUCCAAUGGAAACCUUCACGCCGAUGGUUGUUUUUAUCAGGUAUGGCGAUAGAUCGAUGAGCGAAUUAUAGAUCCAGUGUUGAAUAUUUUUGCACCGGCUUUUGAUUUCGGGAAGCAGCUACGAGGCAUGGUUAAAGAUCGAGGUUUUCCAGAAUAGCAGAACUCAGAUCCUGUAAUUAUGUAUUUGAUUGUGAGAUUUACGGGAGGGAAAUCUAAUGGAUGUAUGUAGGUUGUUUCAGGAUUAUACAUCUCGAUACGUUAAACGUUUUGAGGAUUGAAUCCUGAUUGAUCUUGUCAUCCGACCUUUGCCAUGUCAGGUGCGCUUGCAUGGCAGGUCAAAAAUAUAAUAAAGAAAGUUUUAUUGGUUUUGGGAGAAGAUCGCACGGGGUUUUUGCCCGGGGUCUUCUCUCGUGUGUGGUGUUUUGCUUUGCGCCUUUUUCUUUUGUCUAUUGUUUUGAUAUCGAAUAGCGACUCUAGCCGGGAUGGAUUCAUAUGAGGAGGAUUUCACGCUCCAUAACGAAGUGCACGUCAAGGUAUUGCCCUAAUUUCAGUUCAAUAAUGUCCAUCCAAACACAUUUGUUAUUUCAAUUAAUGAAUUACAGCGAGGUAUACUUAAAAUUGGACAGGAAAUGCUUAACGGUUGUUAAUAUCACUUGUACAGUAUGAUUCUUCAUCCAAAAUCAACAAAUUCAAGGUCGAUUAUAAGUUUUUACAAAAUAAUUUUUAAAAAUUUGUAUGGCAAAGUUUCUCUCGGAUAACUAACUUUAUCAUUACUAUGUUUAUAUCACACUUACAGACUUAUUCAUUGCCAAUCCUGUACAUAUCUUACUUCUACAUUAGGGUUGGUUUGGUUGGUUUGCUGAAUUCAUUAUCGGAUGCAUAUUUUAUCUACACACUUGUUAAUUCUACAUAAGUGUUAAUAUAUACUGUUGUAAAUCAUUAUCUGAUGUAUAUUCUAUCUACCAUUGAACCAACUUACAAACCUGUUUCACAAUAUCUUUGUAAAUACACUGACCCACUGAAUCAUCACCCAUUUCCAACUUUGAAGAAGGCAGUUAAAGCUUCAUAUGAACUUGUGUGAAUUUUUAGCAUCAACAAUACUUGAAUUCCUUGAAGCACUCAGCAUAUGUAUCAAGAUUUUAUCAUGUGCAUACUCAUUAAUCUGCAGUAAGGAUGAGAAAUGUAAACUAUCUAAAUGGCCAAUUCAACUAUUUUGAACGACCAUCAACGGUGUUUGUGCACGACUAAGGUGAAAGGUUGAUUCAUGCUUUGGUUUGAGCUUUGGCGUCUUCUUAUUUUUGUUAACGUAAGUGGCUCUCUAGUUACAUUUCAUUAUCUUUGUCUCAAGAAAGAUCUAUAGCCCAAAUCGGUAGAGUGCUCUGAAUAUUUUGUAUAUAUAACUCAGAGAGAUGGUGGUUCGAAUCCACCUAGAUUUGGGAUACCUUUUGUUUGUUUUCCAUCAAACGUUCUGUCUAUAUUUAAAAAUUUAAUUUCAUAUUCGAGGUAUGGUUCUGUUUAAAAAUUUAAAAAACAAGUGUUUAUGCUUAAUAAUAGUAUUGAUGCUGAAUAAUAUUAUAGAUACAAUUUAAAUUUGAGGCAAGUGUUUUUUUUUUUUUAGAACUGAACUAUUUUUUUAUAAAAUCUUACAAUGAAUUUGUAGUGUUCUUUCUUAGUAAUUAAAUUCAAAUUUUUGGUAAAAUAAAUUGUUUAUAUUAUUUCUUUUACUUUUAACUAUAUUAAGAUAAAAGAACUCAAACAUACCCUCUGCAGCAUUUUUGGUGCUGCCAUCUCUCAUGUGCCAUAUCUGGCCAUUAGAUUUAAAUCUAAUGGUUUUAUUUUCUUUCACUUUUUUCUUUCC